This 403-nucleotide ribosomal RNA is filed under the name Fusobacteriota bacterium. Its description in RNAcentral is "Fusobacteria bacterium partial 16S ribosomal RNA". It matches the Rfam family "Bacterial small subunit ribosomal RNA", at positions 355 to 776 of the family's 1533-position model. The record is from RNAcentral. Lineage: Bacteria; Fusobacteriati; Fusobacteriota.
UGGGGAAUAUUGCACAAUGGAGGGAACUCUGAUGCAGCGACGCCGCGUGAACGAAGAAGGCUUUCGAGUCGUAAAGUUCUUUUAUAUGGGAAGAUAAUGACGGUACCAUAAGAAAAAGCCCCGGCUAACUACGUGCCAGCAGCCGCGGUAAUACGUAGGGGGCUAGCGUUGUCCGGAAUCACUGGGCGUAAAGGGUUCGCAGGCGGAAAUGCAAGUCAGGUGUAAAAGGCAGUAGCUUAACUACUGUAAGCAUUUGAAACUGCAUAUCUUGAGAAGAGUAGAGGUAAGUGGAAUUUUUAGUGUAGCGGUGAAAUGCGUAGAUAUUAAGAAGAAUACCGGUGGCGAAGGCGACUUACUGGGCUCAUUCUGACGCUGAGGAACGAAAGGGUGGGUAGCAAACAGG